Molecule: long non-coding RNA, 851 nt
Organism: Crotalus tigris (Tiger rattlesnake)
Lineage: Eukaryota; Metazoa; Chordata; Lepidosauria; Squamata; Viperidae
Exons: 4
Source: RefSeq, a predicted model, not a curated record
CUGCCUGUGUCCACCAAGGAUGGCAGAUGGCUCACGAGCUUGGCUGGAAAAAUACAGCAAUGAAUCGAACAGGAAAGGGAGCAAGUCCUCUGAAUGCUCGCUUCCGAAAUCACCUCGCGGCAGUGUUCAAAAAGAGCCGCCGCGGAUUUUUCAUACAUGCAAAUCAGAUACACAGCUGGGGGGUGAACCUCAUCCGCUCCCCAAAUCUGCCCUUGUUGUUCGUAGGGUCGGCAAUUUGGCGGUCCUCCUUGCACCUGUUCUUCCUGCACUGUUUCCCUCCGCACUCGCUUCUCCGGGAGGCAGCGUGAGCCAGGCGCGUGGGCUGAAGUGGAAUCGGCGGCAGAUCCUCCCCUCUCUCCCUCCCCCCCGCUUCUAUUUUUAGUCAACCCUCCUCAAAUCGCCGCGGAGGGCUGAGAGCGUAAAGCUCAGCCCCUCGUGGCGGUGGCGUGGCGGAGGCCCCAUUCCGGAUCCCUUCCUUCGCAUCUCUUCCUUCGCAAUCCCACCGCGAGCAUCGGCUGGUCGUUCCACCUCUGCACUCAGCGCUCACCCGGCCGCCGGCUUGCUCGCCUGGGCAGCAGAUCGUGGGAAGCUUCUUCCGCCACAACCGGGAUAGAGGAGGAAAAAAAGUGAAAGGAGAAAGGAAAGGCUGGAGUACAAAAAAUUGAAUGCUGCAGACUGACAUCAAAUUGGUGAGCCCACUAAAAAUAGAAGCAGUUUUGAACAUUUGAUAUUUGUGUCCACUGUCCAUCACCACUUCAGUAACAAUGAGUUUCACAGUACAAGAUGGAGUUUCAAGACGCGAUCAGCUCUUGGCUCAGCAAAGAAUGCACAGCAUGAUCAGCUCAGGUAGG